GCUUCAUUAGCUGAAGUGGCCGAGAUGGCUUCGUUUUCCUCCUCGUCACACCUGUCGCUGGCCGCGCUCGUGGGGGAGACGGUGAUGACGCCCUCGGGUCAGGCCAACGUCAUCUACCUGGCUGUGAAUGAGAGCAGUCCCGGGACCCUGCUGCUGCAGCUGUGUGAGCUGCUGGCCACAACACCACUGCAGUAUGACUCUUGUGGAUGGGAGCAGAUCUGAGUUUGCAACUUGAGAGCUGCUUGUGACCAUACAGAGAGGGUUUAGUGUUUGAGGAAGAGAGACCGCCACCGCCGAACCGCGCCCCUCUGGCCCCGAUGCUGGAGUUCGUCUCUGCCCAGACGGGGGUUCCCGUUGUUGCCGUUGGGGGAGGAGCCAGUCUGGGAAGAGAGCCACAGGUCCGCCUUCUGUACUGCUCCCUGGAAGAGGCAGAGCUCAUUUUCCGGGCAGCUUGGGCAGCGGGUCAGGCCGGGCCCAGCCAUAUGUGGUUUGCAGUGGGACCAGCCCUAUCUGGGUUGGGUCUGGAGGGGCUUCCAAAGGCUUUGUUUGCUAUCCGGCCGCAGGGAUGGAGGGAUGAGCCACGCAG
Long non-coding RNA from Oreochromis aureus, 586 nucleotides. Lineage: Eukaryota; Metazoa; Chordata; Actinopteri; Cichliformes; Cichlidae. The record is from Ensembl.